This 339-nucleotide ribosomal RNA is filed under the name Vibrio parahaemolyticus. Its description in RNAcentral is "partial 23S ribosomal RNA". It matches the Rfam family "Bacterial large subunit ribosomal RNA", at positions 186 to 572 of the family's 2925-position model. The record is from RNAcentral. Lineage: Bacteria; Pseudomonadati; Pseudomonadota; Gammaproteobacteria; Vibrionales; Vibrionaceae.
GGGGGAACUGAAACAUCUAAGUACCCCGAGGAAAAGAAAUCAACCGAGAUUCCGAAAGUAGCGGCGAGCGAAAUUGGACUAGCCCUUAAGCUUUACACGCGUUAGACGAACGGUCUGGAAAGUCCGACGAUACAGGGUGAUAGUCCCGUAGUUGACGACGUGUGUUCAGUGAAAUCGAGUAGGGCGGGACACGUGAUAUCCUGUCUGAAUAUGGGGGGACCAUCCUCCAAGGCUAAAUACUACUGACUGACCGAUAGUGAACCAGUACCGUGAGGGAAAGGCGAAAAGAACCCCUGUGAGGGGAGUGAAAUAGAACCUGAAACCGUGUACGUACAAGCA